Molecule: long non-coding RNA, 193 nt
Organism: Orbicella faveolata
Lineage: Eukaryota; Metazoa; Cnidaria; Anthozoa; Scleractinia; Merulinidae
Source: RefSeq, a predicted model, not a curated record
UACCAAGCAAGCACGCUUCGCGCGCUCCGACAAAAUGGCGGCUGCAAGAGGAGGAAUUUGGAGACCGUAUAAGGAGCUUCAGGCAAGCGUGGAACGAGCUUUAUAUAAGAAGAGUCCAGAAAUAUACCAUGAACUUGAAGUUGCUUUGAAGAAGUUCAAACCGGAUUUCAUUUCUUUGCUGAAAAAUCCGGUA